GCAUAUGGCCUUACCCCUGUGAACACACCUGAUCUCCUCUGAUCUCUGAAGCUAACAGGUUGGGCCUGGUUAGUACUUGGAUGGGAAACCACUUGGGAAUACUGGGUGCUGUAGCCU
RNAcentral lists this ribosomal RNA (117 nucleotides) under Fulmarus glacialis (Northern fulmar). The record is from RNAcentral. Lineage: Eukaryota; Metazoa; Chordata; Aves; Procellariiformes; Procellariidae.